UGUCAUCUUUAUGCUUUGGAUUGAAUUGGAGGCUGUAGAGCCUUUCUUGGUAUGUCGUUUCUUAUAUUUUCUGUCUUUUCUUUUUCAUUCAUACAGUAAUGCUGGUGUAUUGUAUGGUUGAAUAUAUUUUUUUUUAACUUAUAUUGUGCUCUCUGAAACUUCAUCUUUUUUCUGCUAUGAUUUUCUGGGAUAUUUAGUAUGGUGUGUUUGUUGCAGGAUGCAAUGGAGAAGGCGAUAAAAGCCAAAGUUGCUAAAGCUUUUGUACCCGCAAUUGAUGUCAUGUUUCAAGCCUUAAGGUUUGUAUUGAGUUUAAUUUUGUGGGAAAUGUUUCUUUUACUUCUUUAUCUAAUCUGCAUGUUUGGUUUGAUAGUGAGUUUGGAGCAAAAGUUGUGCCUCCAAAGAGGAUAUUAAAGAUGUUGCUUGAGCUAUUUGACCAUCAAGAUCAAAAUGUUCGUGCAUCUUCUAAAGGACUUACUCUUGAGCUUUGUCGAUGGAUUGGAAAGGACCCUGUAAAAUCAAUAUUAUUUGAGAAAAUGAGGGAUACAAUGAAAAAAGAAUUGGAAGCCGAGCUGGUGAAUGUAACAGGGGCAGCUAGGCCAUGUCGCAAAAUAAGGUCUGAGCAAGACAAGGAGUCAGAAAAGGAGGUUGUAUCUGAAGUUGUGGGUGCUGGCCCAUUUGAGGAAUCUACAUCUGAUGGUGUGUAAUACACAUAGUCUAUUAGAUUAUUCUUUUUCUUGGUUGAUAUUAAAUGACGACAAGUGAGUGUUCAAUCAGCGGGUAACAAGUGAUUACCAUUGUAGAAGUUUGACACUUUAGUGUUAUAUUUUAUUAGUUUUUUUACUGCAGAGAUGUUGGUUAUUUAGCUCUCUUUUUUAUGCAUAGUUUAACAUAUUUUAAUUGUCAGCUCCUCAGGAAAUAUAUGAGUAUGAGCUCGUUGAUCCUAUUGAUAUAUUGGCUCCUUUGGAGAAGUCUGGAUUUUGGGAUGGAGUGAAAGCAACCAAGUGGUCAGAACGGAAAGAGGCUGUUGCAGAGCUAACCAAGCUUGCUUCAACAAAAAGAAUAGCACCUGGUGAUUUCUCAGAAAUCUGUCGGACACUAAAAAAGCUCAUAACAGAUGUUAAUAUCGCUAUAGCAGUCGAGGCAAUUCAAGCUAUUGGCAAUCUUGCUCGGGGUUUAAGAACUAAUUUCUCUGCAAGUUCACGCUUCCUAUUGCCAGUUUUGCUGGAAAAAUUGAAAGAGAAAAAACCUGCCUCUAUUGAGGCACUAAAUCAAAGUCUUCAGGCAAUGCAUACAGCUGGGUGCUUAAGUCUAGCUGACAUUGUGGAAGGCAAGUAUAUCUUUAUCCUACGCUGUAGUUCUUUAAUUCAGAAUAUAGUAUUGUCAUAGGAUUCCUUACUAUGUUUUUGGUUUAAGUUUUUUUUUAUUAGA
Molecule: long non-coding RNA, 1428 nt
Organism: Humulus lupulus (European hop)
Lineage: Eukaryota; Viridiplantae; Streptophyta; Magnoliopsida; Rosales; Cannabaceae
Exons: 6
Source: RefSeq, a predicted model, not a curated record